Molecule: long non-coding RNA, 1062 nt
Organism: Mercenaria mercenaria
Lineage: Eukaryota; Metazoa; Mollusca; Bivalvia; Venerida; Veneridae
Exons: 3
Source: RefSeq, a predicted model, not a curated record
GAAGGUCGCGGAGAAAAAGAAACUACCAAAAACAAUUAUUUGAUGAUUUAUUCCGAUUGUAUAAAGAAUGACAGUUAGCGAAUCUCAAGAUCAAACACUGAGGAUUGUUUGGCUUGAUGCAAUGACCUUAAACAGUGAAAUGAUUUUCCAGGAGGGUCUAUACACAACAAGCUGGAUUUUAUGGAGUGAUGAAAGAACUAUGAAUAUGUAAAUGGGAAUGAAACAGAAGGAAUUGAUAUGUUCUACUGAUCAUCCAGCUGAAAUCAUGCCUGUGAAAUAGAGUGCAUGUCACAAAUACUAAUAUAAGCAAAUAACUCCAUAUUGCACAAAUAAUGUCAUGUUUCCUGCCCUCAUGACCUGAAAAAGUUAAAAAUUCUAGUUCAAAUUACCAAUGUGUUUCAAGAAAAAGUAAAACUUAGUCAACUGUGAGAAAUAUUGGGUAAAAGUAGUGUUUUGAUGUCAGGACAGCUGUGAAGUUUUAUGAGAAGCACUACCCUAAUACAGAAUUUAACUUAUAAUUUUUUCAAAACUGCAUGCAUGAAAUGCUAAGACAUGUCUGUUGAAUGAAUCCUAGUUGUUUCAAAACUACAACAUGGGUGACAUUAAAGCACAACCUUUGGAGGAAACAUUUUUACAAUCAAAACUGCCUUGCCAGUGUGAGUGUAGGAAGGAUUUUUCCAGAAAUGGCAGAAAACUACCAAUAUAGCAGAAAAUAUUUGUUACUGGCUGAAUAUAAUAUAUCUCAUUUCAAGAAUUAAUCAUGUUAAUCCAUGGUUAUAGUUGUGUUGAAAGACAUUUUUACAUGACAUGACCUUUGCAGAAAUAGCUAAUUGUUUUGCAAAACAUUGUGAGUUGCCAUGGUAACACAAAUUUGACUUAAAUUUAGAUUUGUUUGAUUAUGUAAACAGCAUGUGUCUUGUUUAUAUUCUGCUAAUCAGACUAUGUUCUGCAAGAAAAUAUCUUUUAUGUGUAACCAUCAACAAAACAUGUUAUAACACAAAUCUGCCAUAAAAUGGCAGAGCUGUACUGCAGGUAGGCAUAUCAGGAAAAUAUGUAGUUCUG